UAGUCUUUAAUCACAAGGACUUUUCUAGC
Molecule: non-coding RNA, 29 nt
Filed under: Rattus norvegicus (Norway rat)
Lineage: Eukaryota; Metazoa; Chordata; Mammalia; Rodentia; Muridae
Source: RNAcentral